UACGUAGGGAGCAAGCGUUGUCCGGAAUCAUUGGGCGUAAAGCGCGCGUAGGUGGCCACAUAAGUCCGUUGUGAAAGUCAAAGGCUCAACCUUUGAAAGCCGAUGGAUACUGUGUGGCUAGAGUACGGAAGAGGCGAGUGGAAUUCCUGGUGUAGCGGUGGAAUGCGCAGAUAUCAGGAGGAACACCCGUGGCGAAAGCGGCUCUCUGGAACGGUACUGACGCUGAGACGCGAAAGCGUGGGGAGCGAACAGG
Molecule: ribosomal RNA, 253 nt
Filed under: uncultured bacterium
Lineage: Bacteria
Description: partial 16S ribosomal RNA
Rfam family: Bacterial small subunit ribosomal RNA
Source: RNAcentral